This 8423-nucleotide small RNA is filed under the name Arabidopsis thaliana (thale cress). RNAcentral's name for it is "ATSL264740". The record is from RNAcentral. Lineage: Eukaryota; Viridiplantae; Streptophyta; Magnoliopsida; Brassicales; Brassicaceae.
AUAUUUGAAGUGUUUGGUUAUGUUUUUAUAUAUAAUAUCGACCAAAUUAAAGUGUCAACGUAUAAGAAAACAUAUAAACAUACCAGAACUUAAAAAUUUCGAAAUUCAAAACUCGAGCGUUGGUAAUAAGUAGAUAAUUGGUUGCAAAGUGCGACUGUGUUCUGUUGUCGUCGCAAAAACGUUGCACCUAGCGACUGUUUUGUGACGUUUAUGAAACAUUUUACAAAUAAAAAUGCUCGUUAGUACCUAUUCGGUCGCACAAUAUUUACUCGAGAAACACUUAAUAAAUUUAACAAAAUUUUAAAACGUUGUACAAUCGUCGCAAUUUAGUUACAAAACAGUUACACAAACGUUGCAACGUGCGACUGUGUUCUGCUGUCGUCGCAAAAAAGUUGCACAAAGCGACUGUUUUAUGACAUUUUGGAAUAGGUCACAAGACAAACUUUUGAAAUUCACAUAGUUCGAUCCAUUCUAUAGAUAAACAUUACUGAAAAACAACCAUUUUAGUACAUCAAGAACUUUAGGUAUACAAAUGAUUGGUUUCAAACUUAUUUGAGAACUUGUUUGAAAAGAUCAAUCAUGAAAAUGAAUUCACAUGAACCUUAUCAUGUAGAUUAAGUUUUUUGGAAUGUUUGGUUUGUAAUAUUCAGAUUUGAAGUGUUUGGUUAUGUUUUUAUAUAUAAUAUCGACCAAAUUAAAGUGUCAACGUAUAAGAAAACAUAUAAACGUACGAAAACUUAAAAAUUUCGAAACUCAAAACUCGAGCGUUGGUAAUAAGUAGCUAAUUGGUUGCAAUGUGCGACUGUGUUCUGUUGUCGUCGCAAAAACGUUGCACCUAGCGACUGUUUUGUGACAUUUUUGAAACAUUUUACAAAUAAAAAUGCUCGUUAGUCCCUAUUCGGUCGCACAAUAUAUACUUGAGAAACACUUAAUAAAUUUAACAAAAUUUUAAAACGUUGCACAAUCGUCGCAAUUUAGUCACAAAACAGUUACACAUACGUUGCAACGUGCGACUGUGUUCUGCUGUCGUCGCAAAAAAGUUGAACAAAGCGACUGUUUUGUGACAUUUUGGAAUAGGUCACAAGACAAACUUUUGAAAGCCACAUAGUUUGAUCCAUUCUAUAGAUAAACAUUACUGAAAAACAACCAUUUUAGUACAUAAAGAACUUUAGGUUUACAAAUGAUUGGUUUAAAACUUAUUUAAGAACUUGUUUGAAAUGAUCAAUCAUGAAAAUAAAUUCACAUGAACCAUAUCAUGUAGAUUAGGUUUUUUUGAAUGUUUGGUUUGUAAUAUUCAGAUUUGAAGUGUUUGGUUAUGUUUUUAUAUAUAAUAUCGACCAAAUUAAAGUGUCCACGUAUAAGAAAACAUAUAAACGUACCAGAACUUAAAAAUUUCGAAAUUCAAAACUCGAGCGUUGGUAAUAGGUAGCUAAUUGGUUGCAAAGUGCGACUGUGUUCUGUUGUCGUCGCAAAAACGUUGCACCUAACGACUGUUUUGUGACAUUUUUGAAACAUUUUACAAAUAAAAAUGCUCGUUAGUCCCUAUUCGGUCGCACAAUAUUUACUCGAGAAACACUUAAUAAAUUAAACAAAAUUUUAAAACGUUGCAAAAUCGUCGCAAUUUAGUCACAAAACAGUUACAAAAACGUUGCAACGUGCGACUGUGUUCUGCUGUCGUCGCAAAUAAAUUGCACAAAGCGACUGUUUUGUGACAUUUUAGAAUAGGUCACAAAACAAACUUUUGAAAUCCACAUAGUUUGAUCCAUUCUAUAGAUAAACAUUACUGAAAAACAACCAUUUUAGUACAUAAAGAACUUUAGGUAUACAAAUGAUUGGUUUCAAACUUAUUUGAGAACUUGUUUGAAAAGAUCAAUCAUGAAAAUGAAUUCACAUUAACCUUAUCAUGUAGAUUAGGUUUUUUUGAAUGUUUGGUUUGUAAUAUUCAGAUUUGAAGUGUUUGGUUAUGUUUUUAUAUAAAAUAUCGACCAAAUUAAAGUGUCCACGUAUAAGAAAACAUAUAAACAUACCAGAACUUAAAAAUUUCGAAAUUCAAAACUCGAGCGUUGGUAAUAAGUAGCUAAUUGGUUGCAAAGUGCGACUGUAUUCUGUUGUCGUCGCAAAAACGUUGCACCUAGCGACUGUUUUGUGACAUUUUUGAAACAUUUUACAAAUAAAAAUGCUCGUUAGUCCCUAUUCGGUCGCACAAUAUUUACUCGAGAAACACUAAAUAAAUUUAACAAAAUUUUAAAACGUUGCACAAUCGUCGCAAUUUAGUCUCAAAACAGUUACAAAAACGUUACAACGUGCGACUGUGUUCUGCUGUCGUCGCAAAAAAAUUGCACAAAGCGACUGCUUUGUGACAUUUUGGAAUAGGUCACAAGACAAACUUUUGAAAUCCACAUAGUUUGAUCCAUUCUAUAGAUAAACAUUACUGAAAAACAACCAUUUUAGUACAUAAAGAACUUUAGGUAUACAAAUGAUUGGUUUCAAACUUAUUUGAGAACUUGUUUGAAAAGAUCUAUCAUGAAAAUGAAUUCACAUGAACCUUAUCAUGUAGAUUAGGUUUUUUUGAAUGUUUGGUUUGUAAUAUUCAGAUUUGAAGUGUUUGGUUAUGUUUUUAUAUAUAAUACCGACCAAAUUAAAGUGUCAACGUAUAAGAAAACAUAUAAACAUACCAGAACUUAAAUAUUUCGAAAUUCAAAACUCGAGCGUUGGUAAUAAGUAGAUAAUUGGUUGCAAAGUGCGACUGUGUUCUGUUGUCGUCGCAAAAACGUUGCACCUAGCGACUGUUUUGUGACGUUUAUGAAACAUUUUACAAAUAAAAAUGCUCGUUAGUCCCUAUUCGGUCGCACAAUAUUUACUCGAGAAACACUUAAUAAAUUUAACAAAAUUUUAAAACGUUGCACAAUCGUCGCAAUUUAGUUACAAAACAGUUACACAAACGUUGCAACGUGCGACUGUGUUCUGCUGUCGUCGCAAAAAAGUUGCACAAAGCGACUGUUUUAUGACAUUUUGGAAUAGGUCACAAGACAAACUUUUGAAAUCCACAUAGUUCGAUCCAUUCUAUAGAUAAACAUUACUGAAAAACAACCAUUUUAGUACAUAAAGAACUUUAGGUAUACAAAUGAUUGGUUUAAAACUUAUUUAAGAACUUGUUUGAAAAGAUCAAUCAUGAAAAUGAAUUCACAUGAACCUUAUCAUGUAGAUUAGGUUUUUUUGAAUGUUUGGUUUGUAAUAUUCAGAUUUGAAGUGUUUGGUUAUGUUUUUAUAUAUAAUAUCGACCAAAUUAAAGUGUCCACGUAUAAGAAAACAUAUAAACGUACCAGAACUUAAAAAUUUCGAAAUUCAAAACUCGAGCGUUGGUAAUAAGUAGCUAAUUGGUUGCAAAGUGCGACUGUGUUCUGUUGUCGUCGCAAAAACGUUGCACCUAGCGACUGUUUUGUGACAUUUUUGAAACAUUUUACAAAUAAAAAUGCUCGUUAGUCCCUAUUCGGUCGCACAAUAUUUACUCGAGAAACACUUAAUAAAUUUAACAAAAUUUUAAAACGUUGCACAAUCGUCGCAAUUUAGUUACAAAACAGUUACACAAACGUUGCAACGUGCGACUGUGUUCUGCUGUCAUCGCAAAAAAGUUGCACAAAGCGACUGUUUUGUGACAUUUUGGAAUAGGUCACAAGACAAACUUUUGAAAUCCACAUAGUUCGAUCCAUUCUAUAGAUAAACAUUACUGAAAAACAACCAUUUUAGUACAUCAAGAACUUUAGGUAUACAAAUGAUUGGUUUCAAACUUAUUUGAGAACUUGUUUGAAAAGAUCAAUCAUGAAAAUGAAUUCACAUGAACCUUAUCAUGUAGAUUAAGUUUUUUGGAAUGUUUGGUUUGUAAUAUUCAGAUUUGAAGUGUUUGGUUAUGUUUUUAUAUAUAAUAUCGACCAAAUUAAAGUGUCAACGUAUAAGAAAACAUAUAAACGUACCAAAACUUAAAAAUUUCGAAAUUCAAAACUCGAGCGUUGGUAAUAAGUAGCUAAUUGGUUGCAAAGUGCGACUGUGUUCUGUUGUCGUCGCAAAAACGUUGCACCUAGCGACUGUUUUGUGACAUUUUUGAAACAUUUUACAAAUAAAAAUGCUCGUUAGUCCCUAUUGGGUCGCACAAUAUUUACUCGAGAAACACUUAAUAAAUUUAACAAAAUUUUAAAACGUUGCACAAUCGUCGCAAUUUAGUCACAAAAUAGUUACACAUACGUUGCAACGUGCGACUGUGUUCUGCUGUCGUCGCAAAAAAGUUGCACAAAGCGACUGUUUUGUGACAUUUUGGAAUAGGUCACAAGACAAACUUUUGAAAGCCACAUAGUUUGAUCCAUUCUAUAGAUAAACAUUACUGAAAAACAACCAUUUUAGUACAUAAAGAACUUUAGGUAUACAAAUGAUUGGUUUAAAACUUAUUUAAGAACUUGUUUGAAAAGAUCAAUCAUGAAAAUGAAUUCACAUGAACCUUAUCAUGUAGAUUAGGUUUUUUUGAAUGUUUGGUUUGUAAUAUUCAGAUUUGAAGUGUUUGGUUAUGUUUUUAUAUAUAAUAUCGACCAAAUUAAAGUGUCCACGUAUAAGAAAACAUAUAAACGUACCAGAACUUAAAAAUUUCGAAAUUCAAAACUCGAGCGUUGGUAAUAAGUAGCUAAUUGGUUGCAAAGUACGACUGUGUUCUGUUGUCGUCGCAAAAACGUUGCACCUAGCGACUGUUUUGUGACAUUUUUGAAACAUUUUACAAAUAAAAAUGCUCGUUAGUCCCUAUUCGGUCGCACAAUAUUUACUCGAGAAACACUUAAUAAAUUUAACAAAAUUUUAAAACGUUGCACAAUCGUCGCAAUUUAGUCACAAAACAGUUACAAAAACGUUACAACGUGCGACUGUGUUCUGCUGUCGUCGCAAAAAAAUUGCACAAAGCGACUGUUUUGUGACAUUUUGGAAUAGGUCACAAGACAAACUUUUGAAAUCCACAUAGUUUGAUCCAUUCUAUAGAUAAACAUUACUGAAAAACAACCAUUUAGUACAUAAAAAACUUUAGGUAUACAAAUGAUUGGUUUCAAACUUAUUUGAGAACUUGUUUGAAAAGAUCAAUCAUGAAAAUGAAUUCACAUGAACCUUAUCAUGUAGAUUAGGUUUUUUUGAAUGUUUGGUUUGUAAUAUUCAGAUUUGAAGUGUUUGGUUAUGUUUUUAUAUAUAAUAUCGACCAAAUUAAAGUGUCAACGUAUAAGAAAAUAUAUAAACGUACCAAAACUUAAAAAUUUUGAAAUUCAAAACUCGAGCGUUGGUAAUAAGUAGCUAAUUGGUUGCAAAGUGCGACUGUGUUCUGUUGUCGUCGCAAAAACGUUGCACCUAGCGAGUGUUUUGUGACAUUUUUGAAAUAUUUUACAAAUAAAAAUGCUCGUUAGUCCCUAUUCGGUCGCACAAUAUUUACUCGAGAAACACUUAAUAAAUUUAACAAAAUUUUAAAUCGUUGCACAAUCGUCGCAAUUUAGUCACAAAACAGUUACACAUACGUUGCAACGUGCGACUGUGUUCUGCUGUCGUCGCAAAAAAGUUGCACAAAGCGACUGUUUUGUGACAUUUUGGAAUAGGUCACAAGACAAACUUUUGAAAUCCACAUAGUUUGAUCCAUUCUAUAGAUAAACAUUACUGAAAAACAACCAUUUUAGUACAUAAAGAACUUUAGGUAUACAAAUGAUUGGUUUAAAACUUAUUUAAAAACUUGUUUGAAAAGAUCAAUCAUGAAAAUGAAUUCACAUGAACCUUAUCAUGUAGAUUAGGUUUUUUUGAAUGUUUGGUUUGUAAUAUUCAGAUUUGAAGUGUUUGGUUAUGUUUUUAUAUAUAAUAUCGACCAAAUUAAAGUGUCCACGUAUAAGAAAACAUAUAAACGUACCAGAACUUAAAAAUUUCGAAAUUCAAAACUCGAGCGUUGGUAAUAAGUAGCUAAUUGGUUGCAAAGUGCGAUUGUGUUCUGUUGUCGUCGCAAAAACGUUGCACCUAGCGACUGUUUUGUGACAUUUUUGAAACAUUUUACAAAUAAAAAUGCUCGUUAGUCCCUAUUCGGUCGCACAAUAUUUACUCGAGAAACACUUAAUAAAUUUAACAAAAUUUUAAAACGUUGCACAAUCGUCGCAAUUUAGUCACAAAACAGUUACAAAAACGUUGCAACGUGCGACUCUGUUCUGCUGUCGUCGCAAAAAAAUUGCACAAAGCGACUGUUUUGUGACAUUUUGGAAUAGGUCACAAGACAAACUUUUGAAAUCCACAUAGUUUGAUCCAUUCUAUAGAUAAACAUUACUGAAAAACAACCAUUUUAGUACAUAGAGAACUUUAGGUAUACAAAUGAUUGGUUUCAAACUUAUUUGAGAACUUGUUUGAAAAGAUCAAUCAUGAAAAUGAAUUCACAUGAACCUUAUCAUGUAGAUUAGGUUUUUUUGAAUGUUUGGUUUGUAAUAUUCAGAUUUGAAGUGUUUGGUUAUGUUUUUAUAUAUAAUAUCGACCAAAUUAAAGUGUCCACGUAUAAGAAAACAUAUAAACGUACCAGAACUUAAAAAUUUCGAAAUUCAAAACUCGAGCGUUGGUAAUAAGUAGCUUAUUGGUUGCAAAGUGCGACUGUGUUCUGUUGUCGUCGCAAAAACGUUGCACCUAGCGACUGUUUUGUGACAUUUUUGAAACAUUUUACAAAUAAAAAUGCUCGUUAGUCCCUAUUCGGUCGCACAAUAUUUACUCGAGAAACACUUAAUAAAUUUAACAAAAUUUUAAAACGUUGCACAAUCGUCGCAAUUUAGUCACAAAACAGUUACAAAAACGUUACAACGUGCGACUGUGUUCUGCUGUUGUCGCAAAAAAAUUGCACAAAGCGACUGUUUUGUGACAUUUUGGAAUAGGUCACAAGACAAACUUUUGAAAUCCACAUAGUUUAAUCCAUUCUAUAGAUAAACAUUACUGAAAAACAACCAGUUUAGUACAUAGAGAACUUUAGGUAUACAAAUGAUUGGUUUCAAACUUAUUUGAGAACUUGUUUGAAAAGAUCAAUCAUGAAAAUGAAUUCACAUGAACCUUAUCAUGUAGAUUAGGUUUUUUUGAAUGUUUGGUUUGUAAUAUUCAGAUUUGAAGUGUUUGGUUAUGUUUUUAUAUAUAAUAUCGACCAAAUUAAAGUGUCCACGUAUAAGAAAACAUAUAAACGUACCAGAACUUAAAAAUUUCGAAAUUCAAAACUCGAGCGUUGGUAAUAAGUAGCUUAUUGGUUGCAAAGUGCGACUGUGUUCUGUUGUCGUCGCAAAAACGUUGCACCUAGCGACUGUUUUGUGACAUUUUUGAAACAUUUUACAAAUAAAAAUGCUCGUUAGUCCCUAUUCGGUCGCACAAUAUUUACUCGAGAAACACUUAAUAAAUUUAAUAAAAUUUUAAAACGUUGCACAAUCGUCGCAAUUUAGUCACAAAACAGUUACAAAAACGUUACAACGUGCGACUGUGUUCUGCUGUCGUCGCAAAAAAAUUGCACAAAGCGACUGUUUUGUGACAUUUUGGAAUAGGUCACAACACAAACUUUUGAAAUCCACAUAGUUUAAUCCAUUCUAUAGAUAAACAUUACUGAAAAACAACCAUUUUAGUACAUAGAGAACUUUAGGUAUACAAAUGAUUGGUUUCAAACUUAUUUGAGAACUUGUUUGAAAAGAUCAAUCAUGAAAAUGAAUUCACAUGAACCUUAUCAUGUAGAUUAGGUUUUUUUGAAUGUUUGGUUUGUAAUAUUCAGAUUUGAAGUGUUUGGUUAUGUUUUUAUAUAUAAUAUCGACCAAAUUAAAGUGUCCACGUAUAAGAAAACAUAUAAACGUACCAGAACUUAAAAAUUUCGAAAUUCAAAACUCGAGCGUUGGUAAUAAGUAGCUUAUUGGUUGCAAAGUGCGACUGUGUUCUGUUGUCGUCGCAAAAACGUUGCACCUAGCGACUGUUUUGUGACAUUUUUGAAACAUUUUACAAAUAAAAAUGCUCGUUAGUCCCUAUUCGGUCGCACAAUAUUUACUCGAGAAACACUUAAUAAAUUUAACAAAAUUUUAAAACGUUGCACAAUCGUCGCAAUUUAGUCACAAAACAGUUACAAAAACGUUACAACGUGCGACUGUGUUCUGCUGUCGUCGCAAAAAAAUUGCACAAAGCGACUGUUUUGUGACAUUUUGGAAUAGGUCACAAGACAAACUUUUGAAAUCCACAUAGUUUGAUCCAUUCUAUAGAUAAACAUUACUGAAAAACAACCAUUUUAGUACAUAAAGAACUUUAGGUAUACAAAUGAUUGGUUUCAAACUUAUUUGAGAACUUGUUUGAAAAGAUCAAUCAUGAAAAUGGAUUCACAUGAACCUUAUCAUGUAGAUUAGGUUUUUUUGAAUGUUUGGUUUGUAAUAUUC